RNAcentral lists this long non-coding RNA (361 nucleotides) under Vigna radiata. RNAcentral describes it as "long non-coding RNA (VRAD_LNC004664)". The record is from RNAcentral. Lineage: Eukaryota; Viridiplantae; Streptophyta; Magnoliopsida; Fabales; Fabaceae.
GUUAAAUCACGUCGAUUUUGGAAGUUUCAAAAAUCAUGACGAUUAGACAUAAAAUUGUCCUGGAACUAAAAAAUAAUGGCAAUUUGGUUACUUAAUCGUCAUGAUAUAACUGACGAAGUUUAAAAAGGUUUACCUUUUCACUUCCUCGUGCAUGCAUAGUUCUUCUCUCAUCUUCCCAUUAUCAUAGCCCACUCCACCAGCACCCUAUCUUGAUUGCAAGUUUACUACAUAUCGUUCUUGCUUUCUGUCUGUGUGUUUCGUUUCUCUCAAUAACUUCUUCACCCAUCGUUCUUUCUCUUUCUUUUGCCUUCAUCACCCCAUUUCCCCAUUCAUUUUGAACCAACGAAGUGGCCACCUCGCU